CCCCGUUCCGUUCCCGCUCCCGCUCGGUCCUGCCGUGCCCCGGAGAUGCUGUCGGGGCUGCGCCGCCGCUUUUUCCCCCCGGAAGCGACCCACGGCGGCAGAUCCGACGGAGAUCGUCCCUGGGGGAUGUUAUUCUUGACCCCCCGGGGCAAACGGAGGUGUUCGCCUGGUCAGCAUCAGGAGCCAUCCUAACUGAGGCCCUGCUGGGCUCCCUCUUUCCCUUCGGUCGCCGUGGAUGUGCCGGACGCCUCUGGCAGGACUGACCCUGUGGCUUUUACGUCCAGCAUGCCUGCAGGUAAGAAAAGCUGGGAGUGCAGUCCCUCUGCUUUGAUUGCUGUGCCUCUUUGGUAGGGAUUUUGGAGGGGAAUCCCAGAGCGAUUUGGUUUGAAGGGGACCUUCAAAGGCCACCCUGUCUUCCGAGGGCAGGGACACCUUCCACUGUCCCUGCUUGCUCCGAGUCCCGUCCAGCCCGGCCUGGAACACUUCCAGGGAUGGGGCAGCCUCGGCUUCCCUGUGCAGUGUGCUCUAAUAUCUCUCCACUGGCAUCAUGAAAAAUGUCGUCAGCGUGUUUUGUUGAACGACGGGAAGCAGGACCUGGGUGAAAAUGACAUUCUGUUAGGUGUUGGGAUGAGGAGGACUCAUGCGGGCACCUCCAGAGACAGCGGGAACGGGAGCGUGCUGCAGAGAAGGAAAAUUCCAGGUGAAUUGCCACGAGAGGAAAUACUUCCGAGGGGCUUCCCUCCAGAUAACCUCUGAAUAUGCCAGGAGGUUUCAGCCGGGAGAAAGGAGCUGUGGAAGAAAAGCAGCCUAAAAAUAGCCAGCGGGGAUCAUCAGGUUUUCCAGCCAAGAAAAACAAGGAGGGAGAUGAGGGAAUGGGGUUCCAAUUCCUAAUGAUUUGGUGGGUGUAGGAAUGCUUUCUGUGUGUUUUCCAGUCCCUUUUGAUUCCUGGGAUGAUUUUAAAAUGAUGGCUUUAGCAGUCAGCUAAAUUGGAGAUGUUGUUUCUGAGAGGAAAUGAGGCCAAAUAAAUGCAGAGUUUUGGGU
Molecule: long non-coding RNA, 1041 nt
Organism: Corapipo altera (White-ruffed manakin)
Lineage: Eukaryota; Metazoa; Chordata; Aves; Passeriformes; Pipridae
Exons: 4
Source: RefSeq, a predicted model, not a curated record